RNAcentral lists this ribosomal RNA (272 nucleotides) under uncultured bacterium. RNAcentral's name for it is "partial 16S ribosomal RNA". It matches the Rfam family "Bacterial small subunit ribosomal RNA", at positions 82 to 354 of the family's 1533-position model. The record is from RNAcentral.
CCGGGAUGACUGAGUGGCGGACGGGUGAGUAACGCGUGGGUAACCUGCCCUGUACAGGGGGACAACAGUUAGAAAUGACUGCUAAUACCGCAUAAGCGCACAGGACCGCAUGGUCCGGUGUGAAAAACUCCGGUGGUACAGGAUGGACCCGCGUCUGAUUAGGUAGUUGGCGGGGUAACGGCCCACCAAGCCGACGAUCAGUAGCCGACCUGAGAGGGUGACCGGCCACAUUGGGACUGAGACACGGCCCAAACUCCUACGGGAGGCAGCAG